Molecule: long non-coding RNA, 11728 nt
Filed under: Equus caballus (horse)
Lineage: Eukaryota; Metazoa; Chordata; Mammalia; Perissodactyla; Equidae
Description: lncRNA (ENSECAG00000040581.2)
Source: RNAcentral
CACACUGCCUUUGAAAUCACUCAAAAUUGUCUUUUAAAGGAAAUCCUGCCAUUUGUGUCAACAUGAUGGACCCUAAGGACAUUAUGGUGGAGAAACUGAGGCUGAGAGAGAUUAAGCUUCUUGCCUACGGUACCACAGUAAAUAGGAACGUUCCAUGUGCUUCCAUUCAUUGACUAGUGGCCAUACUCUCCAGCCACAGACCACCAGGAGCACACCUGGAGGUGAACAUCCGGUUGAUUGAUUCGUUGCCAUGAGCGAGCACGCACGUUACAGAGAGCCACGGGGGUUCCACGAGAGGUGUUCGAAGGACUGAGAGGAUGUGCACUGGAGUCAGUGGAAGAGAAGUCCCCAUGAACGGAAGGUGAAGCACUUCCAUUUUGUCCUCACCACAAACGUCUCCAGUGUGUAAUGUCAUUACGCCCAGCUCACAGGAGAAGAAACCCAAGCUUAGGACGGUCAAGGAGCUUGUCCACAGACGCACAGCCAAUGGUCUGACCUGGAGCCUGUGCUCUCAGCCUCUCCCCCAGCUUCCCUCUCUCCUUGAGCUUCUCAAGGCCUUCACUUGCUUAUCUGAAACCUGGGAAGAAAGCUGGCACCUGCUUCCCUCCGGUGGCCUGCGGCUCAGCCGGCGGGAUGCGCUGUUGGCUGUGAGCGGCCUUGCAGAGACGGGGUCAUCCUCCCUGCUGUGGCUUCGAGGGCAGCGUCAUCACAAAGGCCCUUAGCACGGACGCUUGAGAAAGGCUGAUUCCAGCGCGAAGUGAGGACAGUCUCUCCACAGCAAGUGCUCCUGAGAGAGCUGGGCUCCCUCUGAGGUGGGAAGCCACCCCCCCAGCAAACAAGCACAUGCCCAGAUGGCAGCAGGGGUUCCACUCACCACCCAGGUAGCAGAGGCUCCCAGAACAGGGCCCGCCCGGGGGUCCCUGCUCCGUGCGAUGGCCUCCUCUUCCUCUCUUCUUUCCACGGUAGGUGCUCUCCAGCCUCCAUUUCCCCUUCAGAUUCUGUGGAUUCUUAUGUUCCAAGAGGUUGCCAGAGCCCGACUUGACCUGACUGUCCUUUGCCAACUUCAUCACCGCCUCUGGGGCAGGGGUGGAUAUCCGGGAAAACAUUUUUCCUGAGCUCUGGCUUGGACUCCUUCAGCAUCUGUGGAAAACAAGGGAGUGGACCACAUAGCCCUCUCUCAGUCAGGCACGCAGUUCAUGCUUGGCUCCCUGGGGCCUUUCUCAAGACAAACACCAUCGGAAACUUUUCCUCCGCCCCCCUUCCCUCUGAGAGAGGGGUCCUGAGGCCAACCGUGGAGAGUCUUUGGUUCGCCCCCUGCAGACGGAUGCUCUAAUGCCUUGGGCCAGAGCAUGCGGAAUGGACCGCUGAGGGUCCCCUGGCGUGACCUCUACGCUCCUGGGCUGGACAGAGCAGGGACUGAGGUGAAGGGUCAACAAGGGGGCAGUGGCUCCUUGAUGGCUUUCCCUGUUAUGGCCUCAUCCAGGAGAUCCCUGUUUUCUCAGGAACACCAGGAGAUGGUGUGUGUGUGCGCGCAUGUGUGCGUACAAGAGAGAGACAGAGAGGUGCAAUGAUGCCAUCAGGAGCUUUCUAUCCCUUUGAGAUCUGGGGCCCUCUGACCCACAGUUGGUGCACACACCAGCAGUGUCGCUGUCACCUGUGAGCUUGCGUGCGACAGAAAUGCAGAGCCGCGGGCCCCGCUGCAGGCCGACUGAUUCAGAGUCUGCAUUUCCUCAGGGCCCUCAGGCGAUUCUUAGGCACACGAAAGUUUAAGAAGCACGGAUCCAGGUAAGACGGGCUCCAAGCUCCUGGCGGUGUUCUCUGGAAGCCCAAAUCGCUCGUCCAUGUUGGAUGGAAGGCCAGGCCCUUUCCCAAUUGUCUGUGAAUCCCCAGGCUGCUCGCUCCCUUGGGGCCACCUCUGGCGACUCUGGAACAACCGCCUUCCCCGCACAGGACAGUGUAUGGCUUGUUCUGCCCUCCUUUGCUAGCUUUCUCUGUACCACAUCAAACUGAAGGAAUCUUAAUCCCUACUCCAGAAAGCAACUCCCGCAGAGCUUGUGUGUGUCCGUGUGUGUGUGUGUGUGUGUGUGUGUGUGUGUGUAGGAGAUUUUCCCAAAAUGUGCUGAGUGGGAGGGCGGGCAGGAUGGAGUGAAACAACCAUUUUAGCUGCUUUAUACAGAAGACUAGACGUCUCUGUUCUUUGAUGAGACAGCGAUGAGAAUUCCUCCCUGGCCCCUCACCCCAGGCGCUCCCCACUCCAGCCCACCUCACUGGAUUGUUUCUCCCCACCUUUCCUCCUCGGCCCCUCUUCCGCUCUUCUCUCCCUGACCCUCUAAGGAGCAAAACUCCCCUCGUUUCCUCAUAGAGAUCAGCGACGACACCCCUCCUGUGGUCUUCAUCCUGUGCCCUCAGGAUUCACCUUCUGUCCUCCAUGCCUCAGAAGCACGCUUCUCACACUCGUGUUCAUAGCAGCACUGUUCCCGAUGCCAAGAAGUGGAAGCACCCAAAUGUCUACCGAUGGAUGAAUGGAUAAGCAGCAUUUGGUAUACACAUACCACGGAAUAUUAUUGAGGCUUGAAGGAAAGGAAAGAAAUUCUGACACGUGCUACAACAUAGAUGAACCUUGAGGACAUUAUGCUAACGAAAUAAGCCAGUCACAAAGGGAGAAAUACUGUAUCAUCCCACUUACAUGAAAUUUCUAGAGUAGUCAAAUUCCUAGAAACAAAGCGGAAAGGUGGUUACGAGGGCCCGGGGGGAGGGGAAAAUAUAGGGGCCUUAUUUAAUGAAGACAAAGUUUCAGUUUUGCAAGAUGAAAGAUUCUCGAGAUUGUUUACACAGCAAUGUGAAUAUAAUUAACCCUACUGAACUGUCCACUUAGAAAUGGUUUAGGCAGUAACUUUUACGCUAUGUGGGUUGUUUAACCACAAUUAAAAAUAAAAAAAUAAGUUUGUAAGUCUGGGCAAGGCUCGCAUCCUUCUGGGUCUUAGUUCCCUCCCUGGUAGUUGGGGAUAAAUAUGUUUGCUCUCCCCGAAUUAUAUCUUGCAGGGCUAGUUUGAAGUUCAGGAAAAUUGAUGCCUUUGAAAGAAGAAAAAAAAGACAAUUUCUUUUCCAAGAAGAAUCUGGUGCCAGCGGCUGAGACACUUUGCUUCCCCUCGUAGCCUGCGUACCUCCAUUCCCCCUGCCUGUCCUGCUCCGCUCGCCUCCACCCGUGGGUCCUUCCAGUGGCGGAGUGCCUCAACCUUCAUUCUCUUCCCUCUCUGAGACUCCCAUUCUUUCUGGGCUUUCCCUGACUCUCAAAGCUUUGAGUACCUCCGUGGGCAGAUGAACACCAACCUGUGAGUCCUGUCUGGACCUCCUUCCUGAGAUUCAAACUGCUGUUUCCUCCUGUCUGUUGGACCUCUCCCCCGCGCACCUCCAUUCACCAGGUUCAAAACCAAACUCAUCACCAUUCCCCACAAAUAAGCUCCUCCAAGAUUCCUACUCCCAGUGAAGGGUCCAGCCAUUUACCUGGUUGCAAAAAAAGAAAUCUGGGAAUCCCCCCGGGGGACUGCCCCCUGCUCCUCCCCGCCUUCUUUUGUUUUUUUGUUUUUGAGGAAGAUCAGCCCUGAGCUACCUACUGCCAAUCCUCCUCUUUUUGCUGAGGAAGACUGGCCCUGAGCUAACAUCUGUGCCCAUCUUGCUCCACUUUAUACGUGGGACGCCUGCCACAGCAUGGCCUGCUCUCAAGACUGGGUCUCAGACGAGUCGGUUCUCAAAAGUUUAUUUCUCACUGUUGGAGGUGACUGCAGGGUGGCUGCAGCUCUGCUCUGUGUGUCUUCUUCAUUCCAAGAUCCGAGCUGAAGGGACAUGCUGUUCUUACGGCAGAGGGGAAAAAAGACAAUGCUGAAAUUUGCAAUGGCUCUUAAUGUUUCUGCUUGAACUUGGUCUAAAUCACUCUCACUUAGGACCCAAUGGCCAGAGCAAGUCACAUGCCCGAGUCUGACGGUGCUAAUCUGGGGAAGUACACUUCUUCUCCAGGAAAACAGUGCAAGUCGUAGGGCAAAGGUUAGGAAUGUGGAAUUCUCUUACUAGGAGGAGGAAUGAAGAACUAUGUAUAUGUACAUAUACAAUGAUGCAACUCAGGACACUGCUCGUGUAUGAGCCGGCUCCGCCUGUGGAAAGAGCACAGCUGGAGGAGUGUCCGGCUCUCCGUCAACCUGAGUCCCAGCAGGUGCUGGUCUCCUGAAGGGAAGCAGCUGAGGCUCUGUGGGGAAAGUGCUGGCCUCAUGGGAGAAGAAGAUCUGGAAGAGAACCCAGCAUGGAACAUGACAGGACGCUCACUUCAUGCUCCGGGCCCCUCUAGAGUGUCUUCCACUUGCCCGUGACCUUCCUACAGGAAUCUGUGGGAGUUGGCACCCAGCUGCAAUGCUGUGCCCUGUGAGCCCACUCCUCGGCCAUGUUUGACUGGGCCAAGGGACGGCCCCUAACCCACGCUGGUCCAACCAGGUCCUACCUGUGCUAAUGUGCAAUCCAGAGAGAGGGAGGCAGAAGGGCAGUCUCUCCUAUGGUUGGCAUGAUAAUGUGUGAACCUGGAAGCUGUGGGAGGCUGCCAUUCCUCCAACUAUUUGCACCGAGCAGCUGAGAAAGUCAGUCUUCAGAGAAAAAAGACAGAGGCAGCCCAGCAGCCAAGUCGAGACAAGGGGAGAGAAGGAGAAGCAACACUCCCCGAGCCCUCUGCUGCCUCCCUCUCCUGGUUCUUGUCAUUUCUGGGACGCUGCCCAGUGCUCACACGUGAGCUUGGGUUCCCCAAAUGACCGCUGCAUCUUACGACGACUUUCUCUCUUUAGGUGAAGUGAGAUUCAGUUCGUUUCUGUUGCUUGCAACCAAAGGAACUUUGAGCGAUUCAGACUCGCCUUUCUGAGCCUUAGUUUGAUCAGCUGAAAAAUCAAGGUAGCGAUGCUGAGUCACAGGAUUGCUGAAAGAAUCAAAUGGACAUAAAAAUGCGAUAAAAUGGGAAAUAUUAUUACAGGAGAGAGACACCACGGGAGGAGCAAAAUGUCUUAGAAGUUUUGCUUUGAAUUUUUGAAACAUUGGUUAACUAAUAAGAAAAAUAAUGGUAGAAGCCAACAAGAAAUAAUCAGAAUAUGUCAGACACUGUUCUAAGUAUUUUACACAUAUGAACUCCUUCAAUUUCCACAACAGCCUUAUUUUGUACAGCUUCCGCCAUUUUGCAGAUGAGGAAAGUAAGACAUAGGAGAAGUCUUAAAAACUAGCCAAGGUCACAUAUACUGGGUGACAAAGUAACGUUCUUGGCUUUCAUAUCUGUUUCCUCAUCCAUAAAACGGCACAAAUGUAGGUACCCCAGGGUGGUGUUUUUAAAAUUAAUUAAAAAGUCUCCACAAUGCACAUGACACAGUAAAAACUAACUUUUAAAUUGCUUUCACCUCACACCUAUCAUGAAAAUGGCUAUUAUCAAAAGGACAAGAGAAAAUAAAUGCUAGCAUGGAUGUGGACUCGUGCAUUGCUGGGGGAAUGUCAACUGGCACAGCCAUUAUGGAAAGCAGUAUGGAGCUUCCUCAAAAACUGAAAAAAAAGGAACUACUAUGUCAUCCAGCAAUUCUACUUCUGGGUAUUUAUCCAAAGAAAAUGAAAACAUUAACUCAAAAAGAUACAUGCACCCAUGUUCACUGCAGCAUUAUUUACAAUGGCUGAGAUAUGGAGAUGACCUAAGUGUGUACCAAUGGGCGAAUGGAUAAAGAACAUGUUUUGUAUAUAUAUAUUUUACAUAUAUAUACAAAAUAUAUAUAUAUAUAUAAUUGUGUUACAUAUAUAUAUAUAGUGGAACAUCGUUCAGCCAUAAAAAAGAAUGAAGUCUUGCCAUUUGUGACAAUAUGGAUGGACCUUGAGGAUAUUAUGCUAAGUGAAAUAAGUCAGACAGAGAAAGACAAAUACCAUGUGAUCUCAGUUAUAUGUGGAAUCUAAAAACAAACAAACAAACAAAAACCAAGCUCAUAGAUACAGAGAACAGACUGGUGAUUACCAGAAGAUGGGGGUGGGUGAAAUGGGUGGAGGAAAUCAAAAGGUACAAAAUUCCAGUUACAAAAUACCCUAGUCAUGGGUAUGUAACGCACAGUUUGGCAACUAUGGCUAAUAAUGCUAUAUUGCAUAUUUGAAAGUUGCUAAGGGAGCGGAUUCUAAAAGUUCUCAUCACAAAAAAAAAAUUCUGUAACUAUGUAUGGUGAUAUUAACUGGACUUAUUGGGGUGAUCAUUUUGCAAUAUAUAUAAAUAUCGAAUCAUGGUAUUGCACACUUGAAACUAAUAUAAUAUUGUUUUUCAAAUAUACCUUAAUAAAAAUAUCUCUUUCAUUAGAAUACUCAUCAUAAAUCUGUUUCCUAACUGCACUGCAAGUGAAGAAAAUAAGACAUGGACCUAUGAAGAGGGAAAUUUCAAAUAAAUAAAUUCUGUUUACACAGCAAAAGAUGGGCUUAUCAAACUCAUGGGAAAUAGGCUUAAAAAUCUGUAGCGCUUAUAAUGCCACUUGGCCUAAGGCAGCCUCAGACAAGCAGUUGUCAAGCCCUCGCUUAGUGGGAGGAUGGAGAUACCCAUACUCUUCAGUGCCUCUUGACAACGUAACCUUUUUUAGCUUCUCUGCUCUGAGAACGGCAUGUCUCAAUUGGCUAUGAAGAGUGAGAAGGCAAGGAAACUGAGAAGGGUGGUGUGGUGCUGUAUCUUGGGGUUCUGCAGGCAUCAUCUCAUGUUACAGAUAGAAAAUGGGAGCUCCAGGAGGUAAAGAACAUGGCUUCAGCCCAACAAGCAGGAGUUGGAGGGUUGGAUUGCAACACGAGUCUCUCUGACCCCAAAGUUUCAGCUUUCUUCCCCGCACCUGGAGAUGCCUCAUCACGUCGGAUGCCCAUCGCUGCUUCACACGUUACCCAAAGCCAAUAAUGUGAAACAGCAAUAAGCCUUUAUUAUCACCCGGCUUCUGCAGCUCAGGAAUUCAAGAGUGGCUCAGCUGAGUGGUUCUGGCUUGGGGUUUCUCAUGAGGUUACGGUCAAGGUAUCAGCCGGGUCUCCAGUUAUCUACAGGUUUGACUUGGGAAGGAGGAUCCACUUCUAAUCGCCAUGGCUGGUAAUUUGGUUGUAGGAAGGAAGUCUCAGUUCCUCUCCAUGUAGGCCUCUCCAUAGGCUGGUUGAGUGUCCUCACAGCAUGGUGGCUGACUUCUCCCAGAGCAAGCAAUCCAAGAGAGAGGAGUGCCAAGGAAGCUAUCCUUUUUAUGACUUCCUCUCAGAAGUACAUAGAAGCACUUCACCAGGCUCAUUAAUUAGAAUAGGACUGACCUGCAUUCGAGGGAGGGAAACGAGGCUUCGCCUUCCGAAGGGAGGAGGAUUAUGGAUGUAUUUCAAGACCACCGCACUUAGCAACAUGAGAAAGAAUUUACAGCUCUGGUGUGACUUGCCUACCUUCUGCUUAAAAUGAGUCAGAGGGCUUCCAGCACCUCUCAGGUUAAAGGUCACAGUCCUCACUGUGACCAGCAAGGCCAUGCACGCCCUACAGCUCUGCGUGUCUCCAGCCUCAAGCCAGGUCUUCCCCGUUUUAGCCACAUACCUGGACUGCUUCCAUUUCCUCACACUCCCUCUACCUGAAGGCCUCUGCAGAGAUGCUCUCUCGGCCCUCUGUGCCUUCCCAUAACCUCCUCUUGCCUUGCUAACGUCCGUUCCCUUAUCCUUCAGAUCCUGGUUCAAAGGUCGCCUCUUCACCAAACCAUCCCUGAUGUCCCAGACCAGAUCAGGUCCACUCAGAGGCUUUUAUGAACCUUUGAAUUCUUGAAUGAUACUUUUUCAUUUGCAAUUAUGUAUGGUGCGAUCACUGAGCUAUGUCUGUCUUCCCCACUAAUGCUCAGUCCAUAUUGAGAUGGCGCCUGUUUUUAUGUUCACCAUUGUAUCCCUAGCACGUUGCUCGGUGCCGAGCACACAGUGGGCACUCAGUGACAAAUGCAUUGAAUGAAGGAGCGCCCAGACAAUGCCCUUCUCGGAGCUGGAGGUGCAGGGCUGGCAGAGCACCUCUUUGUAAGUGUGCCUCAGUGCAGGUUCUGGCAUCAAGUCAGGGUUGACUCGGUGACUUUUAAGUUUCCUUUCCAUCAGGAGAGUCUGAGAUUCUGUGAGUCUGUGAUUCUAGGCAAGCAAACUGCCUCCUUAAGCAGCUUGCCGAUGGCCCAGGUCUUCUGGCUCCCAGGACACACCCUUUUAAGGGGCAGCCUGGUACAAACAUCAAGCACAAGGAAAGUCUAUGCUGGAAACUUCUGGGAGUUUCCAGCUGCCUGGGGCUUUAAGGGGCUCAAACGAUCGGGCCCUCCGUGGCUCCUUUAAGAAGUUUUACAAGGUUAAGGUUUGCUCUAAAAAUAAGCCCACAAGGCUUUUUGAAAAGUUUCAAAAACCAUAUGUCCAGCUGAGCCGUUUUUUGAAGGGCCAGUGAGCCUUUAAAAGCUUCAAAACCGCUCCUUGGCCUGCCCCCCACUGUGGAGAAAGCUCAACACGUGGAGCUUAGACCCGCUUCUAAGUCUUCUAGAAUCUACACUUGGAACAUUCUGCUUCCAUCAAAGGGGUUCAAGACGGAGAUGAGGGGCCGGCCGGGUGGCACAGCGGUUAAAUUCGCACUUUCCACUUAGCCUCACGGGGUUCGCCGGUUCGGAUCCCGGGUGCGGACAUGGCACCGCUUGGCACGCCAUGCUGUGGCAGGCAUCCCACGUAUAAAGUAGAGGAAGAUGGGCACACUAUUAGCUCAGGGCCAGGCUUCCUCAGCAAAAAAGAGGAGGACUGGCAGUAGUUAGCUGAGAGCUAAUCUUCCUCAAAAAAAAAAAAAAAAAGACAGAGAUGAGUGCGUACGAACCCAAGGCCAGUUCUCCCCACAGUAAACAACCACCCAAAUCACCAGGACACUGCAGCAAGUUGCCUACAGAGAGACCGGCUCAGCCUUCCCUGCUCCCCCUCCUCUCUCGUAGGUCUCUUCGCACUGCGUAUUGUGGGUUGUUCUUCCAGCGGGAAGGCCCGUGUGUAGCCCAGCCCCCCGGGCCCAGGAGAUGCCCCAGAGACAGAGCCCCUCGGAUAUCUGGCAGCUAAUGAGGAAGUACAUUCAUUUACUAAAUUGUUCUCGCGCUCUCAUUUCUUUUCCUUUCAUCUUUUUGAAUAAAUAUUUAAGCCCUUAUUAUGUGCUGCAUAUCGAAUAUCCGUCUUUCAGGUGGGAAGGCAGGGGCAGAGAUUAGUGGAGAGCAGCAGAAAGGACAUCUUGACGAAUCAGAAAUGCAUUCUCCCCAAAGACGUUUUACAGUUUGUAGGGGAUUAAAGAGGAGUCCAGGCUACGAUGCACCAGAUUUCAGGCUCCUUGAAUCCUUCAAGCUUCAGGAAGGAAUCCCUUAUUGACUCCUUUACAUAAAUGAGACUGAGACCAGAGAGGGUAGGAGAAUUGCUCACCAUCUGACAGGGCUUCAGCCACCCCACACGUGUCUUGCUGCUUCUCUAACAGAAUAAGCCAUAAACGGCUAUGAUGCCGGGGCACGGGGCUCCGGAGCAGUGUCAGUGUAACGUGAUACGAGAGUGCAGAAGAAAGAGAGGUCCCUUCCAGCUAAGAGGAUCAGAGAAGGUCCCGAUGUUGCUCCUUGCAGCCACAGUAAAGGGCAUUCUCUUUUCCCCAAACCAAGGAGCUCACCUCAGUCUCUUUUCUGUGUAAGUGAAACACUUCCAGCUUCUGCACCAACGUCGAAGGCUAAACCCAAGAGAGGAGUGCCGCUGACUGCCGCUCGGAGCCACAGCAUCGCAGCGAGGCAAGGACCUACUCCUCCUCCUGUGACAUCCCGACAGGUGCUCACCCAGCUUGUGCUCACACAUCCUCAGUGGCAGGGAGCUCACUACCUCAUAAGGCACUCGAUGGGGCAGACGCCGUCUUCCUGGGGAUCGAAUGACCACAGAAGGAAAAUAACUUAGAACAGGCAGCUCUUCAUUCUUCCUCAGCUGGUGUUUUUCCUCCAGAGCCUGGAAAGAAAUGUGGCCCAUGCACACCUUAAAUUGGACCAUCAAUUACUCGUGUCUUGAAUAUGCAGAGCUCAUUAGGGCUGUGUUGGCCACAGGAGAGUACCUGAGCUGAGAACAGUAAACUUGCCUCAGCCCUUUCAAUGCAGGCUGCCCCUCCACAGCGGAGCCGGCCUGGGGUUGCCAGGCACUAAUGUGACCAAUUAUUUCUGUCCUCAGUUACUAGGUCAUAAAUCCCGCCCUGGCACAGAGUCCUGGUUUCUGGUGGGAGAAGGUUCGCUUUUAGGAAUGACUCUAACUCCUGGCUGUGGAGUGGUGUGAUGUUGUGGUUAGGACCCUUGCACUCCAAGCCCGAGUGUUGCCGGGACCUCAUUAUGGCCUGUCAACAUCCAGCCGUGUGUGACAGUCACGUCCCCAUUCUGCUCCUCAGCCAUAAAGCGGGCGCAGGACCUCCGCAGGUUGCUCAAUGACGCGAGUUUGAGAGAAGAGGUCAGGCAUGUAGAAGAGGUCCUGAGGGCAUUUGUGUGAAGACCCUGACACGGUUGCCUACGAGGCCGGUGCAGAGUGAACUAGGCUUUGUCCCACUCCGAGGCCUUUGCACUUACUCUCGCCUGUCCAGGAUAUUCUUCCUUCAGCCCUUUGCAUCCUGGGUUAUUCUCAUUCUUCAAUUAUCUCCUCAAACCUCGCCUCUUCAAAGAAGCUCUCCUGAGCCCCUCUCUAAAGUGCCCCCUGCUCUCUGAGCCCCAGUUACUCUCGGAAGCAUCGCCCUCCUUCCAGCCUCUUCAGCACAAAGCACAACCUACACUUAGCGUGUGCCUAUCUGUGACAGCCCGAUUGUUACCCAAUGACUGCACGUGCUGCCGGUUUGCAGUCUGUGCGUGACGUUCUGAAUGAGAACCGGCCUGGCCCCUCUGUGAACCCCACGCCCCCAAGCUUGCAAAAGCUGGCUCUUUAAAAACUGUCUUGCAACUGCUCAUGUGAGCGGCUCAGGUGUUCCAAACUGAACAACCAAAGAAAAGUGCGGAAGUGAAUUGAGUGCUGGGGGUGACACCUGAUUUGAAAUGUUCAUAUGCGUUCACUUUCAUUGUUUUUACUGAUGCUCAUUAAGUGUUAUAAAUUUGAUAUAUUAUUUUAAAAAGGCAAGGAAAACAAAAUGGAAAAAGCCGAUCCUGCUUUGAAGGAACUCAGUUAAAGGGAGAGAUACAGAGGACAGCAGACACCUGUGCGGCCAUCGCUGAGUCUGCGCACAGAGGGAAUGAAAGUGCAAGGAGGCCUGUAGGGAGAAGGCGGGAGAGCCAGCCCCAGCGAGGGCGGGGCCGAGAGCUGGAGCAGCGGCUCAGGGCUGGGGAAGUGGAGGCUGAAUAUGGGAAAACUGAGAUCCAAAGGAAGGAAAGACUGAGCCCAUGGCCUCUAUCACUUGGCUGCAUCCCAAGGGGCUCACAGAAUGAGUCCUUCGAAAGUGUUUGCUCAUGAAACAAACACUCCGCAUCACUGUACUGUUUUUAAAGUAUUCCCGUGUGUACACUGAAAGGCAAAGUGAGGCAGUGAAUGGUUACCAGAUUUGGGAAUAAAUAGAUCUGUGUUAGAAUGUUAGCUCUUCUAUUUACUUUAUGAUUUUAGGCAAAUUGCUUAACUUCUCUGAGCUUCACUCUCCUUAAUUCUAAAGGCAGUCUAAUAAAGCGUAGUUUUCUAAGACAUUGUUAGUGCUGAGGUCAUUAAUGUCCAGGAG